This 2894-nucleotide long non-coding RNA is filed under the name Homo sapiens (human). RNAcentral describes it as "non-protein coding LINC02447:22". Lineage: Eukaryota; Metazoa; Chordata; Mammalia; Primates; Hominidae. The record is from RNAcentral.
AACUCGGAGCCCGGCGCAGUGGAAAGCGGGCCAAGAAGCAGAGGUCCAGGUUCCAACUCUUGAUUCUAUCACAAAACACUGCACCCGAGGCAGCCAGGCAGCUUCCGAAGACCUCGUAAGUGCCCCGCCAUUUGCUGGGUGCUGGGGAUACAGACAUGAAAAGAAAAAUAAAAGACUCAGCCCUGCCUCCGGGAACUCACAGUCCCGCUGACGGUUUAGUCCUCUCCUCUCUCUGGGCCUCACUGCCCCCAUCUGGGAGAUUGACAGGUUGGACUGUCACGACCGUCUCGCCGCCGCUGCAGAGACGCCCCUGGAUCACAGCGCCCCUGCCUCUGCGGCCCUGGACAGGGCUCAGGGCCCAGCCCCUAAAAUUGCUCAGGGUGAGGUUGGAUGGAUCAACCACAGCAACUGUCACCUCACAGCAGGAGACAGGGAAACUGAGUCCCAGAGAGUCAAGAGAGUGCUUACCUGAGACCUGGGUAAUACUGGAAGCUGUCCUUCCAUCCACCAAGAGCUCUUCGCCUUUUUAUUUUUAAUUUUUGUUUUUGUUUUUGAGACGGAGUCUCACUGUCGCCCAGGCUGGAGUGCGGUGGUGCAAUCUCAGCUCACUGCAACCUCCACCUCCCGGGUUUCAGCGAUUCUCGUGCCUCAGCUUCCCAAGUGGCUGGGAUUACAGGCAUGUGCCACCACACCCGGCUAAUUUUUGUAUUUUUAGUAGAGAAGAGGUUUCACCAUGUUGGCCAGGCUGGUCUCGAGCUCUUGACCUCAAGUAAUCCACCUGCCUUGGCUUCCCAAAGUGGUGGGGUUACCGGCGUAAGCCACUAUGCCCAGCCCAAGAGCUCUUUGCCUUCUGAGAGCAGCGUCCUGUGGAGGCAGAAACAGGUUUUCGUUCUUGUUGCCCAGGCUGGAGUGCAAUGGCACAGUCUUGGCUCACUGCAACCUCCAUCUCCCAGGUUCAAGUGAUUCUUCCACCUCAGCCUCCCGAGUAGCUGGUGUUACAGGCACCCGCCACCACGCCUGGCUAAUUUUGUAUUUUUAGUAGAAACGGGGUUUCACUAUGUGGCCAGGCUGGUCUCAAACUCCUGACCUCAGGUGAUCAGACUGCCUCAGCCUCCCAAAGUGCUGGGAUUACAGGCAUAAGCCACCGCACCUGGCCAACAAUUUUUUAAGGAAAAGAAGAAAGGAAAAUUAUUGACCUCAGCUUCCACCUUAACUAGAAAAGACCAAAUGAAACCUAAAAUAAAAAGAAGAAAAGAAAUAAUAAAAAUCAGAGUUGAAAUCAAUGAAACAGAGAACAGAAAAUAAUAGAGAACAUCAAUGAAACAGAACGUUCUUGAGAAAAUUGUUAAAUUUAUAAAUUAUAGUUAGAUUGAUCAGGAACAAAAGAGAAAAUAAAAAUGACCAUUAUCACAAAUGAAAUGGAUAACUUUACUACACAUUCUACAGAUAUUUUUAAAGUCUGAGGCACAGACCUUUAAUAUAAAAACGCUUUAUAGUUCUGUCUAGGGACAUAAGAUCUCAGGAAAAAGAAAAGAAACAUCAGUAAAAGCACUUUUGCUCUGUUUUACAAAAUUGAAAAUCAAUCCCGUGCCUUGUCCAGGUUGUUUUAGGUACACGAGUGUAAAACUGUAUGGUACCCACUGUAAUAGACGAAGCCCAGCUUUCCAUUUGAUCAUGUGCUUAUGUUUUCAUCUAUGGGGUCCCCAGGACCCCUGCACACAGUAGGUGUGCAGUAAACGUUGAGUAAGUCAAUAGAUGGUGGUGGUUGGCAUCGUCUUCCUAAUGUACGCUAGACUCUGUAGUGGCACAAAAGUCAGCACCUGGAAUCCACGUGGGUUUCCGUAUCCUCCACCAAAUGUUCACCAAGCACUCCUCUGUGCAAGGCCUGAAACAACAGAGGAGAACAGAGAUUUGGAACUUUGAGUUAAUAAUGGUAGUUAGAUGAUAUUUUGGACUCCAAGUUGACCCUAGAAUACUUAAGCCUUCGGAGCAUGUUAGGAUGGGAUGAAGGCGUUUUGCCUGCGGGAAGGACAUGAACUUGGAGGAACCAGAGUGUGGACUGUUAUGGGUUGACUAGGACCCUCAAAAACGACGUUCAAGUCCAAACCCUCACUACCUGUCCUUCUGACCUUAUUUGGGAACGGGGCUGUGCAGAUGUCAUUAGUUAAGAUGAGAUCACACUGGAGAUUACGGUGGGCCCUAAGCCAAUAUGAGGGGUGUCUUCAUGAGCAGAGGGAAAUCCGAACACAAUACAGGGAAAAGGAAAAUCUUUCUGGUGUUUUAUUUACUUGCAUUAGUUUCUAAGGCUGCUGUAACAAAGUACCACCAACUGGGUGGCUUAAACAACAGAAAUUUAUCAUCUCACAGUUUUGGAGGCUGCAAGUUCCAAAUCAAGGUGUUGGCAGGGUGGGUUCCUUCUAGGGGCUCUGGGAGGAAAUCUGUGCAAGGCUCUCUUCCAGCUUCUGGAGGUUGUUUUUGCUCACAAGCCUGGGCAGUCUUUGGCUUGUGAAAGCAUCUCCCCAGUUUCUGCCUUCAUCUUCAUGCGGCGCUCUCCCUGUGUGUGUGUGUCUCCAAAUUUCCCCUCUUUAUAAGGACACCAGUCCUACUGGAUUAAGGCCCACCCUAAUGAUUUCAUUUUAAGUUGACUGUCUCAGCCAAGGCCCCAUCUCCAAAUCAGGUCACAUUCUGGGAUGCUGGGAGUUUGAAUUUCAACACAUGAAUUUUGGAGGACACAAUUCAACUCGUCUCACCGGUUCAGGUGUCCAGAAUUGGUUUAUUUCCCAUCUUAAUUGUAGAUUUACAAUGUAAAUGAGCCAUACAUUUUGUCAAUUUUGUUUUUGCAAGAAGUAUUUAAUUUGUUGGUCUUACCUAUUUUACUACUUAGAAGAAAUUAA